GACCACCUAAAAUCAGCCAAGAUGCCCCUACUUCCUUUGGGAAUCCUUCUGUAACUCAUUUGUUUGGACGGAGAAAGAAUUUGAGGAAGAUUAGGUAACUUGUCCAAGAUGCACUGCCUAGUCAUUCUUCUUGAAAAUGCACCAGGCUCCCCUGUGUUUGAAGAACACAUGAAAGAGAAUUCUAGCGAUGUCAGAUCUAGGU
Felis catus (domestic cat) is the source of this 202-nucleotide long non-coding RNA. RefSeq lists it as uncharacterized. NCBI's taxonomy places the organism in Eukaryota, Metazoa, Chordata, Mammalia, Carnivora, Felidae. The record is from RefSeq and is a predicted model, not a curated record. The transcript is spliced from 3 exons.